Molecule: ribosomal RNA, 301 nt
Filed under: uncultured bacterium
Lineage: Bacteria
Description: partial 16S ribosomal RNA
Rfam family: Bacterial small subunit ribosomal RNA
Source: RNAcentral
CAGCAGCCGCGGUAAUACGUAGGGUGCGAGCGAUAAUCGGAAUUACUGGGCGUAAAGCGGGCGCAGACGGUUACUUAAGCAGGAUGUGAAAUCCCCGGGCUCAACCUGGGAACUGCGUUCUGAACUGGGUGACUAGAGUGUGUCAGAGGGAGGUAGAAUUCCACGUGUAGCAGUGAAAUGCGUAGAGAUGUGGAGGAAUACCGAUGGCGAAGGCAGCCUCCUGGGAUAACACUGACGUUCAUGCCCGAAAGCGUGGGUAGCAAACAGGAUUAGAUACCCCUGUGUCCCUGUCUCUUAUACA